GGAUUGUGGCUCAGCGGUAGAGCGCUCGCCCAGCAUGCGCGGGGCCCUGGGUGGAUCCUCAGCACCA
This 67-nucleotide transfer RNA is filed under the name Marmota monax (woodchuck). RNAcentral's name for it is "tRNA.Ala". Lineage: Eukaryota; Metazoa; Chordata; Mammalia; Rodentia; Sciuridae. The record is from RNAcentral.